This 468-nucleotide ribosomal RNA is filed under the name uncultured bacterium. Its description in RNAcentral is "partial 16S ribosomal RNA". It matches the Rfam family "Bacterial small subunit ribosomal RNA", at positions 28 to 507 of the family's 1533-position model. The record is from RNAcentral.
GACGAACGCUGGCGGCGUGCUUAACACAUGCAAGUCGAACGGAAAGGCCCUGCUUUUGUGGGGUGCUCGAGUGGCGAACGGGUGAGUAACACGUGAGUAACCUGCCCUUGACUUUGGGAUAACUUCAGGAAACUGGGGCUAAUACCUGAUAGGAGCUCCUGCUGCAUGGUGGGGUUUGGAAGGUUUCGGCGGUUGGGGAUGGACUCGCGGCUUAUCAGCUUGUGGGUGGGGUAGUGGCUUACCAAGGCUUUGACGGGUAGCCGGCCUGAGAGGGUGACCGGCCACAUUGGGACUGAGAUACGGCGCAGACUCCUACGGGAGGCAGCAGUGGGGAAUAUUGCACAAUGGGCGGAAGCCUGAUGCAGCAACGCCGCGUGCGGGAUGACGGCCUUCGGGUUGUAAACCGCUUUCGCCUGUGACGAAGCGUGAGUGACGGUAAUGGGUAAAGAAGCACCGGCUAACUACGUG